This 275-nucleotide ribosomal RNA is filed under the name uncultured bacterium. RNAcentral describes it as "partial 16S ribosomal RNA". It matches the Rfam family "Bacterial small subunit ribosomal RNA", at positions 338 to 606 of the family's 1533-position model. The record is from RNAcentral.
CCUACGGGUGGCUGCAGUCGAGAAUUUUUCUCAAUGGGCGAAAGCCUGAAGGAGCGACGCCGCGUGGGGGAUGAAUGGCUUCGGCCCGUAAACCCCUGUCAUUUGCGAACAAACCCUGCCAUUUAAAAGAUGGCAGGCUGAUUGUAGCGAAAGAGGAAGGGACGGCUAACUCUGUGCCAGCAGCCGCGGUAAUACAGAGGUCCCGAGCGUUGUUCGGAUUCACUGGGCGUAAAGGGUGCGUAGGUGGUUGGGUAAGUCUAAUGUGAAAUCUCCGA